AAAGGCGCGCGAUACAGGGUGACAGCCCCGUACACAAAAGCGCAUGUGCUGUGAGCUCGAUGAGUAGGGCGGGACACGUGGUAUCCUGUCUGAAUAUGGGGGGACCAUCCUCCAAGGCUAAAUACUCCUGACUGACCGAUAGUGAACCAGUACCGUGAGGGAAAGGCGAAAAGAACCCCGGCGAGGGGAGUGAAAAAGAACCUGAAACCGUGUACGUACAAGCAGUGGGAGCACCCUUUGGGGUGUGACUGCGUACCUUUUGUAUAAUGGGUCAGCGACUUAUAUUCUGUAGCAAGGUUAACCGAAUAGGGGAGCCGGAGGGAAACCGAGUCUUAAUUGGGCGUUAAGUUGCAGGGUAUAGACCCGAAACCCGGUGAUCUAGCCAUGGGCAGGUUGAAGGUUGGGUAACACUAACUGGAGGACCGAACCGACUAAUGUUGAAAAAUUAGCGGAUGACCUGUGGCUGGGGGUGAAAGGCCAAUCAAACCGGGAGAUAGCUGGUUCUCCCCGAAAGCUAUUUAGGUAGCGCCUCGUGAAUUCAUCUCCGGGGGUAGAGCACUGUUUCGGCUAGGGGGCCAUCCCGGCUUACCAACCCGAUGCAAACUGCGAAUACCGGAGAAUGUUAUCACGGGAGACACACGGCGGGUGCUAACGUCCGUCGUGAAGAGGGAAACAACCCAGACCGCCAGCUAAGGUCCCAAAGUCAUGGUUAAGUGGGAAACGAUGUGGGAAGGCCCAGACAGCCAGGAUGUUGGCUUAGAAGCAGCCAUCAUUUAAAGAAAGCGUAAUAGCUCACUGGUCGAGUCGGCCUGCGCGGAAGAUGUAACGGGGCUAAACCAUGCACCGAAGCUGCGGCAGCGACGCUGAUGCGUUGUUGGGUAGGGGAGCGUUCUGUAAGCCUGCGAAGGUGGCCUGUGAGGGUUGCUGGAGGUAUCAGAAGUGCGAAUGCUGACAUAAGUAACGAUAAAGCGGGUGAAAAGCCCGCUCGCCGGAAGACCAAGGGUUCCUGUCCAACGUUAAUCGGGGCAGGGUGAGUCGACCCCUAAGGCGAGGCCGAAAGGCGUAGUCGAUGGGAAACGGGUUAAUAUUCCCGUACUUGGUGUUACUGCGAAGGGGGGACGGAGAAGGCUAUGUUGGCCGGGCGACGGUUGUCCCGGUUUAAGCGUGUAGGUGUGUGUUCCAGGUAAAUCCGGUUCACUUUAACA
RNAcentral lists this ribosomal RNA (1205 nucleotides) under Salmonella enterica subsp. enterica serovar Give. RNAcentral describes it as "partial 23S ribosomal RNA". It matches the Rfam family "Bacterial large subunit ribosomal RNA", at positions 346 to 1557 of the family's 2925-position model. The record is from RNAcentral. Lineage: Bacteria; Pseudomonadati; Pseudomonadota; Gammaproteobacteria; Enterobacterales; Enterobacteriaceae.